RNAcentral lists this ribosomal RNA (207 nucleotides) under uncultured Mesotoga sp. Its description in RNAcentral is "partial 16S ribosomal RNA". It matches the Rfam family "Bacterial small subunit ribosomal RNA", at positions 568 to 774 of the family's 1533-position model. The record is from RNAcentral. Lineage: Bacteria; Thermotogati; Thermotogota; Thermotogae; Kosmotogales; Kosmotogaceae.
AGCGUAGGUGGCCUAACAUGUCAACUGUGAAAACCCGGAGCUCAACUCCGGACUUGCAGUUGAAACUGGUAGGCUUGAGGACGGUAGAGGAAGGCGGAACUGCCAGUGUAGGGGUAAAAUCCUUAGAUAUUGGCAGGAACGCCGGUGACGAAGGUGGUUUUCUGGGCCGGUUCUGACACUGAUGCUCGAAAGCCAGGGGAGCGAACG